AGGAGCUCCUCCCUCUCCACGGUGGAAUGGUGAAGGGACCAAUCUGACAUCAGUUCUUUACAACGUAUGAGUGUCAGGAUUUUACUUUUAAAUUUACUUUAACCCUUAGUUAAAUCAUUUCAAGUUUUUGGCUUUCAGCCCUACCGUAUCUUCACAUUGGACUAUAGGUUUGGUUGCCCGAGGCACAUUUGGAUGCACUGGAGUCACUUCUGUUACUCAUUCUGCCUCUGACUGCAGAGGAGUCAGAGAUGAAGGUUAUGAAGGAGACUCCAGGGUGUGAAGUUUGGUGACCUCCGUGGUUCAUGUGCUUGAACCUUCGUUCCCACUAGGUGGCGCUGUUUUCGAAGGUUAAGACAUCCUUAGAAGGAUUCAGGUCAGGAGCUGGACCUCUAUUUCGUACAGGAGUUUUCUGUUUCCUGAUCUGUGAAGCUGUGGACAAGCCACGUGACAAGCUGGAGAGACGAUCGAUCCUCUGUUACAGAAAAGAGCCAGCUGAGCAAGGUGUGGGGAACAAGGCAGUUUCUCAGGUCUCUGCUUCAGUUUCUGCCUUCAGAUUCAUUCCUUGGCUUUCCUCAGCGAUCAGGGCAUGGACCUGCUUCUCUCUCCACAACUUCUGGGAAAGUCUUUGCAGCUCAACUUUGAAUCUCACCUCCUUCAGAAAUGUUGACAGGCCUUCAAGAUCAGAUGAGAGCUCCUAGCUCCUGCUUCAGCACCGUGAUUGCCUGCCUGGUACCAUGCUAUCUGCCAUGAUGGUCAUGAACUCACCCACUGGAAUGGUUGUUCCUGUCAUGGAUUUUUUUAUCAGAGUGUUGAGAAGAGCGACUCUCACGAGCUAACACAAUGACCUCAUACUGGGUCGCUUACACUUUAGAGAUUUUAUUUCUCACAGCUCUGAAGACUACAUCAAGUUGUAAAUGAACUCAUCCUGACUCCAGAGCAAGAAAGUGAGUCAACUUGGGCGCUGUGGCUAGAUCUCCCUUCAGUCCAUCCUUCCAGUUCUAUGGCUGCCUUGUGGACAGUGCUACAUUAUAAAUCUGUCUGUCAGCACUCUAAGGAGGAUCUAGCUGUGCAUCCCAGCCUGGCUCUGAUAUCACCAUCUUCUUGCCUGCACCUUCUGAGUGCUCAGAUGACAACUACUUGUUGCUGCGCCCGACUUGCCAUCUUGGUCCCUUGAUCAAACCUGGAAGGAGACCUGUCGAGAUGGAGAGAACUGCUUUGGUGGUGAGGUUAGACCCACUGGCCGCUGCCCCGUUGACUGUGCAUGAGGAGUGUGGGGACAGAAUGUGUGGUUAACUAAUGGCUGGACAAUAAAAGCAUCCCCGGGGGCUGGAGAGAUGACUCAGUCGGUGAACUGCUUAUUGUGACAAUUGUGAGAUUGGAAGUUUGGAUACCCCCACCCAUACUUGAAGCACCUGGAGGGUAGGCUUGCUCAUUGUCUCCUGACAUGGUUGGGCACACAAGGCUCACAAAUCCAAGGUUGUCUGCACUGUGACCAAGGCAACUUACAAAGUGUUUAAUUUCG
Molecule: long non-coding RNA, 1522 nt
Filed under: Mus pahari (shrew mouse)
Lineage: Eukaryota; Metazoa; Chordata; Mammalia; Rodentia; Muridae
Description: RIKEN cDNA 4933406J09 gene (MGP_PahariEiJ_G0003018.1)
Source: RNAcentral